GGCCCCGUAGCUCAAUGGUAGAGCAGGUGACUCUUAAUCACUUGGUUGGGGGUUCGAGUCCCUCCGGGGUCA
RNAcentral lists this transfer RNA (72 nucleotides) under Chloroflexota bacterium. RNAcentral's name for it is "Chloroflexi bacterium tRNA-Lys". It matches the Rfam family "tRNA". Rfam says of the family: Transfer RNA (tRNA) molecules are approximately 80 nucleotides in length. Their secondary structure includes four short double-helical elements and three loops (D, anti-codon, and T loops). The record is from RNAcentral. Lineage: Bacteria; Bacillati; Chloroflexota.